This is a non-coding RNA of Phrynosoma platyrhinos (Desert horned lizard), 72 nucleotides long. The record is from the annotation of a GenBank genome assembly. NCBI's taxonomy places the organism in Eukaryota, Metazoa, Chordata, Lepidosauria, Squamata, Phrynosomatidae.
GCCUGCAUGGUGUAACGGUUUGAACAUUGGACUAGGACUCUGAAGACCAGGGUUCAAAUCCCUGUUUGGCCA